AAUUCAAUUACAUUGUACUAACUAUAAUACUUACAGGAGAUGGACGAACUAAAGAAGGAUCGUUUCCAGAGUAGCCGCAGCAAAGAUCGAUAAAGAAUUCGAUCCAACAGUAUCAACUCACGUAGCAUGCAGCACCGGAGAAAUCGACGGCCGGAGAAUUGGAUUAGCUGACCUAACAAAGUUUCUCCAGACUCGACGGAGCCAAUGUCGAAAAUUGCCGAUGUCGGAAGUUAAUUGGAAAUCGCCUAUCUCGUCGGAGUUAAAUGUCAAAAUUAAAUGAAUUGGGUCGGAAUUAAUUGGGUUGGGUCGGGAUUAUUUUGAUUUCGAUUUAGAUUUUGUUUUUGAUUUUUCUUUUAAAAUUAAUAGAUAUAAUUCAUUAAGGGUAAAUAGGUAUUAUCCACUACAAGAAUGGCAUGCAGAUCAAAAGAUGGCACGCCAGAUUCAAAUUUCCGGUUCAGUGGCAUUGUUGAUCAGGACUUUGACGAAGAAGACUAAACAAAUCCAGUAUAACUUCGGCUUGGUUUGAGUCUAUUU
This 534-nucleotide small RNA is filed under the name Arabidopsis thaliana (thale cress). RNAcentral describes it as "ATSL211940". The record is from RNAcentral. Lineage: Eukaryota; Viridiplantae; Streptophyta; Magnoliopsida; Brassicales; Brassicaceae.